AGACCCUCCUUGAACGUUGAAAAUGUCAGAAAAGUUACCACAGGGAUAACUGGCUUGUGGCAGUCAAGCAUCCAUAGCGACGUCGCUUUUGGAUCCUUCGAUGUCGGCUCUUCCUAUCAUUGUGAAGCAAAAAUUCACCAAGCAUUGGAUUGUUCACCCACUAACAGAGAACAUGAGCUGGGAUUAGACCGUCAUGAGAUGGGUUAGUU
This 209-nucleotide non-coding RNA is filed under the name Scleropages formosus (Asian bonytongue). RNAcentral describes it as "Eukaryotic large subunit ribosomal RNA". It matches the Rfam family "Eukaryotic large subunit ribosomal RNA", at positions 2778 to 2988 of the family's 3401-position model. The record is from Rfam by way of RNAcentral. Lineage: Eukaryota; Metazoa; Chordata; Actinopteri; Osteoglossiformes; Osteoglossidae.